RNAcentral lists this long non-coding RNA (360 nucleotides) under Cyanistes caeruleus (blue tit). RNAcentral's name for it is "lncRNA (ENSCCEG00000008557.1)". Lineage: Eukaryota; Metazoa; Chordata; Aves; Passeriformes; Paridae. The record is from RNAcentral.
CCUCAGAGAAUGAGCUGAGAGAAGAUAAAUCCUGAUGAUUUAUGGGUUUGGAUCACCUUGAAGAUUCCCAGUGUGGGAGGCUGAUCCCAGGUUUUCGUGGGAUUUAAUAACUCAUUAAACAGCUUGGAAAAAAUGCACUCAGACAACUUAAAAUUAUUUUCCCGAAAUCCCAGCAAGAAAAUGAAACAGAGCCAUCUAUAUCCAAACAUGUAUGCAUUUGGAAUUUUUGGCUUCAGUGGGAUCCAAGAGAACAUUCCCUAAAAGUUUUUUUUCCCUGGGAUGUGUGGGGGAAGGGAAGUGUUAUAAAUGCAACGGCAAAUUAAAGAUUAACAAAGAUUAAUUUAUUAUAAAUUAAUAAAG